UACAGAGGUCCCAAGCGUUGUUCGGAUUCACUGGGCGUAAAGGGUGCGUAGGUGGUUGGGCAAGUCUGAUGUGAAAUCUCCGGGCUUAACCCGGAAAUGGCAUUGGAAACUGCCUGGCUAGAGUGUUGGAGGGGGGACUGGAAUUCUCGGUGUAGCAGUGAAAUGCGUAGAUAUCGAGUGGAACACCAGUGGCGAAGGCGAGUCCCUGGACAACGACUGACACUGAGGCACGAAAGCUAGGGGAGCAAACAGG
Molecule: ribosomal RNA, 253 nt
Filed under: uncultured bacterium
Lineage: Bacteria
Description: partial 16S ribosomal RNA
Rfam family: Bacterial small subunit ribosomal RNA
Source: RNAcentral